Molecule: ribosomal RNA, 1530 nt
Filed under: Triticum aestivum (bread wheat)
Lineage: Eukaryota; Viridiplantae; Streptophyta; Magnoliopsida; Poales; Poaceae
Description: partial small subunit ribosomal RNA
Source: RNAcentral
AUGGAGGUGGAGUCGAGCUCCCAUGGCGCCCGCGACGAGGCUGUGAGCAAGUUCUCGCUGCCGGUGGACUCGGAGCACAAGGCCAAGUCCUUCAGGCUCUUCUCCUUCGCCAACCCACACAUGCGCACCUUCCACCUCUCCUGGAUAUCCUUCUUCACCUGCUUCGUCUCCACCUUCGCCGCCGCGCCGCUCGUCCCCAUCAUCCGCGACAACCUCAACCUCGCCAAGGCCGACAUCGGCAACGCCGGGGUGGCGUCCGUGUCCGGGUCUAUCUUCUCCAGGCUCGCCAUGGGGGCCAUCUGCGAUCUCCUUGGUCCGCGCUAUGGCUGCGCCUUCCUCGUCAUGCUCGCGGCGCCGACCGUCUUCUGCAUGUCCCUCAUCGACGAUGCAGCUGGCUACAUCACCGUCCGCUUCCUCAUCGGCUUCUCCCUCGCGACGUUUGUGUCGUGUCAGUACUGGAUGAGCACCAUGUUCAAUAGCAAGAUCAUCGGCACUGUCAACGGCCUGGCGGCUGGUUGGGGCAACAUGGGUGGCGGUGCCACUCAGCUCAUCAUGCCACUCGUCUUCCACGCCAUCCAAAAGUGUGGUGCCACGCCCUUUGUAGCAUGGCGUAUUGCCUACUUUGUGCCGGGGAUGAUGCACAUCGUGAUGGGCUUGAUGGUGCUCACCAUGGGGCAAGAUCUCCCUGACGGCAACCUUGCGAGCCUCCAGAAGAAGGGAGACAUGGCCAAGGACAAGUUCUCCAAGGUUGUGUGGGGUGCUGUCACAAACUACCGUACGUGGAUCUUCGUCCUUCUGUACGGAUACUGCAUGGGUGUCGAGCUCACCACCGACAAUGUCAUCGCCGAGUACUACUUCGACCACUUCCACCUUGACCUCCGGACAUCCGGCACCAUCGCCGCCUGCUUCGGCAUGGCCAACAUCGUCGCUAGGCCCGUGGGUGGCUACCUCUCUGACCUCGGCGCCCGCUACUUCGGCAUGCGUGCCCGCCUCUGGAACAUCUGGAUCCUCCAGACCGCCGGUGGCGCUUUCUGCCUCUGGCUCGGCCGUGCGAAAGCCCUCCCUGAAUCCAUCACCGCCAUGGUCCUCUUCUCCAUCUGCGCCCAGGCCGCGUGCGGUGCAGUCUUUGGUGUCAUCCCCUUCGUCUCCCGCCGCUCCCUCGGCAUCAUUUCGGGCCUGAGUGGAGCUGGUGGGAACUUCGGCGCCGGGCUGACACAAUUGCUCUUUUUCACUUCGUCCAAGUAUGGCACGGGCAGGGGGCUUGAGUACAUGGGUAUCAUGAUCAUGGCCUGCACGCUCCCCGUGGCGCUCGUGCACUUCCCACAGUGGGGAUCCAUGCUCUUGCCGCCCAACGCCGACGCCACCGAGGAGGACUUCUAUGCCGCCGAGUGGUCGGAGGAGGAGAAGAAGAAGGGUCUCCAUAUCCCUGGCCAAAAGUUUGCCGAGAACUCCCGCUCAGAGCGCGGCAGGCGCAACGUCAUCCUUGCCACGGCCGCCACACCCCCCAACAACACUCCCCAGCACGCAUAA